GCAGCGGCUCCACCCCUGCCUUUUCAUUGGCCGCGACUGCAGUGGGGCAAGCCAAACAUCCACAGCAUCCCCUCACACCUCCAAGCAGUUCUCUACUCAGUCGGCCAUAAGAGAAUUAAAUAUAUAUAUAUUCUCUGUGUAAAGUGCCCUGAGCCACUUUUGGAAGGGCGGUAUGGAAAUCUAAUUAAAAUCAAAUACUACUACUACUAAAAAUAAUAAUAAUUAAAAAAAAUCUUCUCCCGCCCCCUCACGCUGCUGCGGCUGUGAGCGCCAUCAGCCCAAUCAGAGGCUCUCCCGCGCUCGCAGGGAGCCCCGCUCCUCCCUCACAGGCCCGAGCAGCAGCCAGCCAGCCCCCUGCUUAUUGCCUUAACAGUUUCCCCGAGCCAAGGAGGCGCUGGUCGAGGCACAGAACGGCUCUGUUUAGUAUUGCUAAGAGUUGCGAGGACACCUCACGAAGAGCAGUCUUCUUGAAGCUGAUGGAGGAAUGGAUGCCCAGUCGUUUGGUGGCCUGAAGAUAAAUGCAAGCAGCUCCUCUCUACACCUAGAUUCAUCCAAAAAUGUCCAGUGAAUCAGAGGCUCAAGUGUUAAACAGAAGCAACCCUGAGAGGCAUUCUGAGGAACAAAAUGCCCGGCUCUGCCACAAGUGGAGCAGUCAGCCAUUAUAGGCCAUGUGUAAACUAAAAUGGAAAGGGGAACAACUAUUUUGUUUAUUUAUUUAACACAUCUGUAUACAGCCCAAAACGCAAGUCUCUAACAGUAUACUAAACCUUGAAGGAGCACAUGAUGGACUAGACAUUGGAAGGGAGAAAGAAUUUUGCAGAGCAGUGAAGCGCCAGACACCUGACAUUUCCAAUCCUGCAGCCACAGCCAAAACUGAAAGCUGAGAUUCUGUUUGGUGCAGCUGCAUCAGUAGAGAAAUGACCAGCCAAAGAACUAAAUAGAAGCUCAGUGACUGGCACUUGGUGAAAGCUCUAUUUUCAAUCUCACCUUGUAAAACAUGUCCCCCUCCUCCAUCAGCUUGCUCAACAGGAUGACCAUGAUGUCUGGCUUGGAGGUGGCCAUCGCCCAAGUUGCUGGACCUGUAGUGUACAGGAUGCAUGAUGGGUAAAAAACUCAUACAAUGCAAAAGGUGGUAAGGGAGGAAAGCUAAGGUGGAAAAAUAUCCUGGGAGAGGAAAUUUCUGCUGGAGAGAACAACUUGGUACAGCCAAGCCAAGGUGCAACAUGGUCCCAAAGAAAGUGCUGGGCUUUCAUAAGCAUGUCUCAGAGUUAAAGGCACCUUUUCCACGCAGUCUUUCCUUUCGACUCAUCUGAAAUGACUCACAGCUGCUGGAGUCAUUUCCACAAGAGGACAAUAAAAUUCAUGGAUUGGCAUUGAUGGGAGAGACAGUUAUGUUCUGGGGAAAGUGAUUAAGGAGGAAACCAAAGAGUUUAGCAAACAAUGUAUUCUUAUCUAUAUAACUUUAAAUAGAGCCAUCUAUGUUGUACUACAGCAAUCUGGAUGUAUUUGGACUUGAGAAUUGCUUUACGACAUCUUCAUCUUCACUAACACAUGUAAGUUCAGAGUUUUAAAAAGCUGCCAUGUUUCAGAACGACUGUCACUUCACACAGGGCUUAUACCUGUGAAGUGUUUUGGAUGACCAACUGCAUUCCUUUUCUAAUGCAGCCCAGUCUGAGUCCAAUUCUAUAGCUGUAUUAUGCAGGUCUUUAAAAAACCCAUAAGUAUUAGUGGCCUCACUUAGCAAGUUAAUUGUCAAAUAGGGAAUUCUCAAACAGCCAGAAGGGCAUGGGGAAGCAUUUCAGCAGGCUUUGGGUGAAAAAUAAAUGAACUGUGUUUAAAAGUGAA
This is a long non-coding RNA of Hemicordylus capensis (graceful crag lizard), 1845 nucleotides long. RefSeq lists it as uncharacterized. The record is from RefSeq and is a predicted model, not a curated record. Lineage: Eukaryota; Metazoa; Chordata; Lepidosauria; Squamata; Cordylidae. The transcript is spliced from 5 exons.